Molecule: ribosomal RNA, 807 nt
Filed under: uncultured bacterium
Lineage: Bacteria
Description: bacterial SSU rRNA
Rfam family: Bacterial small subunit ribosomal RNA
Source: RNAcentral
GGAUGAAUGCUGGCGGCGUGGAUAAGGCAUGCAAGUCAAGGGGGCCCCAGAUUUAUUUCUAGGGCAACCGGCAGACGAGGUAGUAAUAUACAGGUACUCACCGAGAAGUCGGGCAUAGCUAUCCGAAAGGGUAGGUAAUUCCCGAUAGUCCCCUUUGGAUAAAACCUUGGGGGUAAAGGCGCAAGCCGCUUUUUGAGAGGCCUGUACAGCAUCAGCUAGUUGGUAAGGUAAUGGCUUACCAAGGCUAUGACGCUUAGGGGAGCUGAGAGGCUGACCCCCACCGAUAGCACUGAGACACGGGCUAUACAUCUACGGAUGGCUGCAGUCAAGAAACUUCCACAAUGGACGAAAGUCUGAUGGAGCGACGCCGCGUGGUUGAUGAAGUCCUUCGGGACGUAAAGACCUUUUAUGAGGGAGGAAGUAAUUGACGUUACCUCAUGAAUAAGGGGCUCCUAACUCUGUGCCAGCAGGAGCGGUAAUACAGAGGCCCCAAGCAUUAUCCGGAAUCACUGGGCGUAAAGGGUGUGUAGGCGGUUGUAUUAGUCUUUCGUGAAAGCUCUCGGACUUAAUCCGGGAAACGCGGCAGAAACGGUACAACUACGAGGAUGCGAGAGGUAUAUGGAACUCAUGGUGUAGGGGUGAAAUCCGUUGAUAUCAUGGGGAACACCAAAUGCGAAGGCAAUAUACUGGCGCACUCCUGACGCUGAGACACGAAAGCGUGGGAAUCGAAAAGGAUUNNAUACCCUGGUAGUCCACGCCGUNNNCGAUGAGAACUUGACGUCGGUUUGCUCUGCGAAUCGGUGUCGU